RNAcentral lists this ribosomal RNA (435 nucleotides) under uncultured bacterium. RNAcentral's name for it is "bacterial SSU rRNA". It matches the Rfam family "Bacterial small subunit ribosomal RNA", at positions 43 to 524 of the family's 1533-position model. The record is from RNAcentral.
CAGGCCUAACACAUGCAAGUCGAGCGGGCCCUUCGGGGUCAGCGGCGGACGGGUGAGUAACGCGUGGGAACGUGCCUUCUGGUCUGGAAUAACCCUGGGAAACUAGGGCUAAUACCGGAUACGCCCUUUUGGGGAAAGGUUUACUGCCGGAAGAUCGGCCCGCGUCUGAUUAGCUAGUUGGUGGGGUAACGGCCUACCAAGGCGACGAUCAGUAGCUGGUCUGAGAGGAUGAUCAGCCACACUGGGACUGAGACACGGCCCAGACUCCUACGGGAGGCAGCAGUGGGGAAUAUUGGACAAUGGGCGCAAGCCUGAUCCAGCCAUGCCGCGUGAGUGAUGACGGCCUUAGGGUUGUAAAGCUCUUUCACCGGUGAAGAUAAUGACGGUAACCGGAGAAGAAGCCCCGGCUAACUUCGUGCCAGCAGCCGCGGUAAU